Molecule: long non-coding RNA, 2645 nt
Filed under: Sorghum bicolor (sorghum)
Lineage: Eukaryota; Viridiplantae; Streptophyta; Magnoliopsida; Poales; Poaceae
Description: long non-coding RNA (SBIC_LNC006715)
Source: RNAcentral
AGAGUUUAAAUUCCUACCACAGCCAUACAUACAUGCUUAUUAGACUUUGAGCCACAUAUUUAUUUUUACUGCUUAUGAGCAUUGAGUGUGGUCAAGCUGUGUAGACCCUUAGGAGCUUGUCAUGCGGUUAAAAUCAAGAUUCACUUGCACGUUCACUCACACAUGCUGCUUCUACUCCGGAAGUAUGCAUCCACAUAUAUCCACUCAUUUCCAUCUCCAGAGCCACCCAAAAGUAUUCUACUCAUAAUCCGGGAGAGAAUAGCCAAAAACAUUAUCAUAUCCCUGUUAUUCCCCGUGAAAUAAAUGCUCUAGUUAUUUUGGUUACUACCACUUGCCACAUUAUUCCAGGAGGGUGAGUGCUCUAAAAAAUGAAAAAUACAAGGAAAUAGAAAGGGGCGAGUGCCCGGAACCUCGAAGAAAAGAAAAAGUGAGAUGAGGGGUAAAAAUAGACAAGUGUCCGACAACAGAAUUAGGGGUCCAAGAUACCCACCUGAGAGAAAAGAAAAAAUAAAAUAUAGAGCAUCUCAUUCUCCUCAAAAAGCUUCAAAGUGCAAGAAAGGUAUUUAUCCCCUUAAAAGAGCAAAAGUAGAAUUAGAUGUUCACCAUUGUUAUCACCAUCAUCACCAUACACCAUUCACUCGCCACACAUGCACAUCUUGAUUUGACUUAUUGACUUGUUCUUCUGGAUCCAUGGUUUGACUAUGCAAUAAAUGUCUUGUAAGUAUGUAUUAUCUGCUCCCACCUAUAAGCUCCAGAUUUCAAAACCUUAUUAGAGUAGGAUGAGAGGGAAGGCAAUAUCACUACGCCUCAUACCAAAAAUACCACAUACUUCGAGAGAAGGCAUAUACCAUUACUGCCUUGGAAAGGAUUCAGAGAUACCACAGAAGAGAGAUUUGAGAGAGUCAUACAAGGAAUCUCUGAGUUUUAUUUGAAAAUGUACAAAAACUCCAGAGCUAUAGUUAAUCAGAGAACAAGAGACACGGCGCUUAACUUGACCGUUCUAUCUUUUAAUUGCUCAAGACGCAAGUGACGGUUACAAGCCCCAUGGUGAAAGGUAAAAUGAGUAAGUUUUAAGUCUUAACAGUUUACUCUAACUCACAGAUGAGAUCUUACUUUUAAGGCAUGAAACCACUGCAGAAACUCUUGAGUUCAUCCUUGCUCAGGGAUGAGCAAGAGGUAAGCUUGGGGGAGUUGUUGAUGGUACUUAAGUACCAAAUAUAAUCGUCAAAUAAAUAAAGAAAAGGAUCCAAAUGCAUCCAACACCCAGACUUAGGGUUUUAUCUGACAGAAUUCCAUGAGUUUUGGUGUUUAUCUAUUUCUGCAGGGGUUAUCAGGAAAUACGGAAGAAAGGCCCACACGUCGGGUUUACAUAGAGAUAUUAACAUGCUGCGCAAUUUUCUAUCAUCUAGAAGACUCUAGAAGCCACAGGAACGAAUGGGAAGGCGAACGGGCCCGCUGGCAGGGCGCCUGCCCUCCCCCCUAGGGCACCCGCCCUGUCCCAGAGUCCAAUCAGGACUCGUUUCGGGGAUUACGCUCCACCGACCUAAAGGAUCAAGGAUAACCGUUCAAUCAAUAUCGGUUUGAUCCAAUGGCCCAUAUUCACUUAAAAGGACUAUAUAAGCAAACCCCCUGGCCCCUGGAGGAGAACAAGCUCAUCAUAGAGUUGAGAGGAGUCCUCGAAGGAAUACCUCUCCUCUAAAUAUACUUAGGGCUUAGCAUCCAAUGUAAGUAGAAUUAGAUCUUCUAGUUUCUACUAGAUUGAGAGAGAUAGAGUGGAGGUGUAGAUCGGAGGAAGCCCGGCCUGUCGGUGUCUACUCCGAGGUUGUACCUGUGGGAUCAAGUUCUCCUAACCCGAGGCUUGAUCCUAGGAUUCUUCAGUAAUUCGACUUCUAAAUUCUAGUAAGUUCUUGUUUUAUUGUUCUUUGGUUUAUGAGUUUACUUUAAUCUCUUCUGGUUGAGUUUUGUAACACCCGAAAUUUGAUUUUUAAAUAAUAGGAUUUAAUUUGGUUUAUUCAAGUAUUUUUUUUUUGUGAGCAUUUAAUCGUGAAUAAAAUAGUUUUGGUCAAAAUUAAAAUUUAUUAUAAGUUUAGAAAACAUGGUUGUGCAUUUCAUGCUGGAGCAUAAUAAUUUUUGUGCUGAUCUUUAUUUUAUUUACUUUAUGGUUAAAAGCUCUUUUAGAAAAUGUGUUGAAAAGAAAAUAGAAAAGAAUUUGAAAAAAAAAGAAAGGGAAAAAAACCCCAGCCCUGCGCCCAGCCCAACUCCCCCUCGGCCCAUUCCCUCUCCCCCUCCCCCGUGCAGGCCGAUCUGCGGCCCACCAAGCGCGCGCAGCCAGGCCGCGGUGUGCCCCUUCUCUCCCUCUAGCUGACAGGCGGACCCCACCUGGCGGUGCCCGUCUUCCUCCUCCCGCCGUAAGCGACAGUAAGCGGCGUGGACUCGACCGAGUUCUCCGUCACCUAAUCGAAUCCCGGGAUUUGCGUUCGGUUACCUUUUCCACGUGACCAAACGCUAUAAAUCGUUCUCCCUCCACCCCGCAGCUCUCUUUCGCAUCUAGGUCCCCGAGUUGAGCCCACCAGCCGUCCCCUCCUGGAGUUGGAGAUCUCGCUGGAGCAGCACGCGUUCCGCCGCCGCGACCCGACCUCCACGCU